GACGUAGGGCGCGAGCGUUGUCCGGAUUUAUUGGGCGUAAAGAGCUCGUAGGCGGCUUGUCGCGUCGAAUGUGAAAUCUCGGGGCUCAACUCCGAGCUUGCAUUCGAUACGGGCAGGCUAGAGUUCGGUAGGGGAGACUGGAAUUCCUGGUGUAGCGGUGAAAUGCGCAGAUAUCAGGAGGAACACCGGUGGCGAAGGCGGCGACCUGGUCCGAUACUGACGCUGAGGCGCGAAAGCGUGGGGAGCAAACAGG
This 253-nucleotide ribosomal RNA is filed under the name uncultured bacterium. RNAcentral's name for it is "partial 16S ribosomal RNA". It matches the Rfam family "Bacterial small subunit ribosomal RNA", at positions 524 to 776 of the family's 1533-position model. The record is from RNAcentral.